AUAUCAGUCAUGCAUAGCAUAUCAAUAAGCGGAGGAAAAGAAACUAACAAGGAUUCCCUUAGUAACGGCGAGUGAAGCGGGAAGAGCUCAAAUUUGAAAUCUUCAAGGUUUUACCUUGACGAAUUGUAGUUUAAAGAAGUGUUUUCUGUUGAAGUUUUGGUAAAAGUUCUUUGGAAUAGGACAUCAUAGAGGGUGAGAAUCCCGUAUUUGACCAUUACUUUCAGCUUUGUGAUACACUUUCAAAGAGUCGGAUUGUUUGGGAAUGCAGUCCAAAAUGGGUGGUAAAUUUCAUCUAAAGCUAAAUAUUGGCGAGAGACCGAUAGCGAACAAGUACCGUGAGGGAAAGAUGAAAAGAACUUUGAAAAGAGAGUUAAACAGUACGUGAAAUUGUCAAAAGGGAAGCGUUUGACACCAGUGUUGUUUUCUCGAAAAUCAAUUAAAAAGAGUUGGAUUUUGUGUUGUAUUGACUUUAUCAGCUUUCUUCACUCUUUUCCAGCUUUUUUAAUGCACUUUUCGUUUAACAAGUCAACAUCAGUUUCUUUUGUUGUAAAAAGGUCAUUGGAAGGUGGCUUUCUCUUCGGAGAAAGUGUUUAUAGCCUUUGACUCAUGCAAUCGGAGAGACUGAGGUCUGCAGCGUAGAUCCUUCGGUGUUAGAUACAUUUGUGCUAAGUUAUAGCUUUUCAUAGACAACUUGUUGACUAUGUUUAGUCUUGUAGCUUACUCGCUUAUGCUAUUUUACCUACGCUUAGGAUGUUGAACUCUAUCACACACAG
Molecule: ribosomal RNA, 773 nt
Filed under: uncultured Neocallimastigales
Lineage: Eukaryota; Fungi; Neocallimastigomycota; Neocallimastigomycetes; Neocallimastigales
Description: partial large subunit ribosomal RNA
Rfam family: Eukaryotic large subunit ribosomal RNA
Source: RNAcentral